GUGGAUCGUUGGCUUUAAAGAGUGGAUUUUCUUCUGAAACCAUCGAAUAAAUAAGACAGGCAGAAGAACUAAGUGGCAGGGAGGAUGGGCUCCUUCCUGCGUUACCAGAGGUUGCUCAGCUUUGGAGCUGUUUCCCACCCACCUUUUGUUCGGUGCCCACCUUGGCUUCCAGAGCAGGGUCCCUCCCCCCGGUGACUGCAGGGGUUUUGUGAACUUCAAAAGCAGCCUGAAAUGUCAGCCACACGCAGCCCUUCUGCAGCCACUAAAUUAUGGAUCAGAAUACAGCACAUCAAACAGUCCAG
This 302-nucleotide long non-coding RNA is filed under the name Calidris pugnax (ruff). Its description in RNAcentral is "lncRNA (ENSCPUG00000018935.1)". Lineage: Eukaryota; Metazoa; Chordata; Aves; Charadriiformes; Scolopacidae. The record is from RNAcentral.